AGGAUAAUACUGAGGAUAACUGGGAAAGAGAUAAUCAGAGAGACAAACAUUCCACACUGGCACAGGAAACUGGUGAGCAUACAAGCCAAAAGGAUUUGAGGAUGGAGCCCUUCACAUUAGCACAGUGAAACGGUGAAGAUGCCUGUGAAAGACAAGAACUCAGAGCACAGCCUUUUGGCCUAUCACAAGAUAAUAGUGAGGAUAACUGGGAAAGAGAUAAUCAGAGAGAGGAUCCUUCCACACUGGUACAGGAAACUGGUGAGCAUACCAGCCAAACAGAGGAUCUGAGGAUGGAGCCCUUCACACUGGCACAGGGAAACGGUGAAGAUGCCUGUGAAAGACAACUCAGAGAGCAGAGAGGAGAGCCUUUCACACUAACACAGGAUAUCUUCUCCCAUGGAUUGACAGAAGAGCAGAGCUUCAUCUCCAUUCUGUCCUUUGCCCUCAAACACAACACAACCAGUGUUCUAAUGGCUGACCUGCUCAAACUUUUGAAACUGGUU
Molecule: long non-coding RNA, 503 nt
Organism: Neoarius graeffei (lesser salmon catfish)
Lineage: Eukaryota; Metazoa; Chordata; Actinopteri; Siluriformes; Ariidae
Exons: 7
Source: RefSeq, a predicted model, not a curated record